RNAcentral lists this ribosomal RNA (263 nucleotides) under uncultured bacterium. RNAcentral describes it as "partial 16S ribosomal RNA". It matches the Rfam family "Bacterial small subunit ribosomal RNA", at positions 524 to 787 of the family's 1533-position model. The record is from RNAcentral.
UACGAAGGGUGCAAGCGUUACUCGGAAUUACUGGGCGUAAAGCGUGCGUAGGUGGUUCGUUAAGUCUGUCGUGAAAGCCCCGGCUCAACCUGGGAAUGGCGAUGGAUACUGGCGGGCUAGAGUGCGGUAGAGGAGAGUGGAAUUCCCGGUGUAGCAGUGAAAUGCGCAGAUAUCAGGAGGAACACCGGUGGCGAAGGCGGGUCUCUGGGCCGUAACUGACGCUGAGGAGCGAAAGCAUGGGGAGCGAACAGGAUUAGACUACC